AUAUAAUUUUGAAAUUACUAGACUAACUCUUGAAAUAUACAAACUUACAGUUUUGCCAUCAGUAAAAUAAAGCCUAAUUAGAAAAAGAAAUACAUUUUAAUAUUAUGAAAGGAACAAAAAAAAAAGCAAAUACUUUGUCGGGUUUCUUCACCAAACGCUCUCUUCGUCGUCUCCGUCACCUCCAUCUCCGACGGUCCCUUUUUCCUCACAACCGCCUUUGUCUCUGUCAUCUCUACCGUACUUCGACUUUGUCUCCGGCAUCCUCCACGAUAAUUCACCUUCGUCUCUUUCCUACUCGACAAACUCGAAAUCGAUUUCACCACAGUCACAUCCGGCUUCAAUUGCAAGUUACUCUAAUCUGUUUAAUUUAGCAAAGAGAGCAACAACCUCUGCAAACUCAACUCUUACAAGCACUCUGGAAGACGGUGACCACCAUUCAGGUAGCUGACAAGGAGAAAGGUGUGGUACCACUACAAGAAAACAGGGGGAUUCUGAUUGCCGAAAUCGUCGGUAAUUCGUCGGAAUCGGUCUAUUCCGACGAAUUUCCGACGAACCCGUCCGUCGGUAUCGUUUCGUCGGAAAAAAAAAAUUCGUCGGAAUUUCGUCAGAAAUUCCGACGACUUUCUGACGAAU
Long non-coding RNA from Brassica napus (rape), 633 nucleotides. RefSeq lists it as uncharacterized. The record is from RefSeq and is a predicted model, not a curated record. Lineage: Eukaryota; Viridiplantae; Streptophyta; Magnoliopsida; Brassicales; Brassicaceae. The transcript is spliced from 3 exons.